Molecule: transfer RNA, 65 nt
Filed under: human gut metagenome
Also listed under: 2 other names
Rfam family: tRNA
About the family: Transfer RNA (tRNA) molecules are approximately 80 nucleotides in length. Their secondary structure includes four short double-helical elements and three loops (D, anti-codon, and T loops).
Source: RNAcentral
GGUAUAGCUCAGCUGGUAGAGCACCUGGUUGUGGUCCAGGAUGUCGCGGGUUCGAGUCCCGUUAC